This 3072-nucleotide long non-coding RNA is filed under the name Populus tremula. Its description in RNAcentral is "long non-coding RNA (PTRE_LNC001600)". Lineage: Eukaryota; Viridiplantae; Streptophyta; Magnoliopsida; Malpighiales; Salicaceae. The record is from RNAcentral.
CCAUCCUUCCAUUGGAUUCAUCAAAGCAUAGCUCGUGUUAUCUUACUCUCUACAAAUCCCACUACAAACUUGUUGGUUCUAUAUUACAGUAACAUAAAAAAUGAGUUCAGCGAGUAAAGCUUGGUUGGUUGCCGCUGCUAUCGGAGGUGUUGAGGCGUUGAAAGAUCAAGGGUUCUGUAGGUGGAACUACACCUUGAGAUCCCUACACCACCAUGCCAAGAACCAUGUCAGAUCAGCCUCUCAGGCCAAGAAGCUUUCUUCUUCAUCCUCAGCCAUGAUCUCAAAUAUAGUCAAGGAAGAGAAGGCAAAACAGUCAGAGGAGUCUUUAAGAAAAGUCAUGUACUUGAGUUGUUGGGGUCCAAACUGAAGCUAUGAAUCUAGUAGAUGAAAUCGAGGGACUUAGUUUGUAGGAGUAAAUCCUUGCAAGCUUAUGCAAAUUGUAAAAUUUGAUGCUCAUUUGGAGCUGUAGAGGCAUUGAAGGACCAGGGUUUUUGCAGAUGGACCUACACCAUGAGAUCAUUACACAAACAUGCCAAGAAUAAUACGAGGUCAAUCUCUCAGGCCAGGAAGCUUUCUUCUUCAUCUUUUGCUAUGGUUUCGAAUAAAUUGAGGGGAUCAAGCCAAUACGAGGAGUCUCUGAGGAAAGUCAUGUACUUGAGUUGUUGGGGUCCAAAUUAAAUGAGUUUAGAAGUUUGCCAUGAGAAUCUGAUGCCUUAUGCAGGCUGAAGCUGGUCCAUUGAGAAGAACAUAGCCAAAGCCAUGAUUAUGGUUUGUGAGAGAAAAUUUGCGGGGCUUGAUUAGUGAUUGAUGCAAGCCUAGUGUUAACUGUAGCUAGUCUGACUGCCAUCUCAUGAUCAGCUUGUAAUUACACCAUUGCUAUACGCAACACGAAAAUUUUGUGGAACAAAAUAUGUUGUCACCAUCUUCCUAUCUUUUGCUAUCCCUUUUUAAUUGAUGUCCCAUGCAAUCUCAAAAAUCUUGCUUGUUCUUUGAUCAUUUCGUUGUGAGAUGUUGCCACCAAAUUUUCAUGGUUUCUGUGACAUGGGCUAAAUGACAUUCAAACAUCCUGCUUAAUUUCGAGCAUGGAUUCAGCCUUUCCUUGAUAGAUCAUGGUUUGAUGCUUAACGUCAAGCAACAAGAUUGGAAACAUGUGCAUUUUCAAUUAAGAAUUCUGGAAUUUCAAAACUUUUUCUGCAGAUCUGUCUUCCAAAUUCCUACCUGUCUAUCAGUGUGACCACUUCUCACUUCAAGCAAAGCGAUUAACUAUUUCUGUGCAUGGAUAGUAGGGCUUCGAUAGGAUUUUAGAGGCUUACCUUGAAUGGUGGGCAGAAUUUUUUAGAGCAAAGGACAUUUAUAGACUUAAAUCUUGAAGUAAGGGAUAAUUUCUUCAUCUUCUUCGCCAUCAUAUCCUCCUUAACCAUGCUACUAUUCUAACACCCACACAUACACAUGGUUAUUCAAGGCUCUUUCUCUUCUACUUAAAUUGAUUUAAGCAUUGAAGGAUCAAUCAUUUUCAUCAAAAGACUUGUUUUGAAGGUUAUCAUCCAUCCCAAUACUUUCUCAAGCAGGUUUUAGUCCAACUCAACCUAAAGAGUAACUAAUUCUUUUGGAAGGGGUUUCUACAACUUCAUCACUGUUAGCUUGAAAUUGUACUCACCUAAUUAACCCUCGUUUUAAAGUUUGUGCAUGAUUUUUUUAUAUUCAAAAGUUAGCAUUCUGAGUUUUUUUUUUAAUGUAUAAUGUGUUUAUAGGAUAUGGCUUCUAAAAAUAAUUUAAAAAUAAUGGUGCUAAUUGGUGCUUACGUAUUUUCUUUUCCCAAAUCUUAUAUAAACCUUCUGUGUAAGUUGAUGGCGAGUAGGAUUUUUAUAAAUCUUCAUGUCUGGAUGUAAGUAAUUUGCUCAAUUUUGUAAGUUCCUGAAAAGGGAUCGAUUCAAGCUUUAUGUGAAUACAUGUUUACCAUAAAAUAAAAUAUGAAAAAGAUGAAUUCCAAGAAAUCGAGAGAGAAAGAGAGAGAGAGAGAGAGCUAUCCUCAGUCCCACACUUUCUUUCAGUCCUUACAAGUGGCAAAAGCACUUCAAUGAGAAGUGCCACCAAAUUGUGACAUGCAUGACUCACCACCCUUCAGCUAUGCUCCUCCUGAUACGUUGGCUUGGAUUUAUUUAUUUUACGAAGCAAAACCGUGUGCUCAUUUCAAGGCAGGCAGAGAAGCUUUUGACUUGCUGUGGAGUGAAGGGCAAAAAAAUCUAGCCAUCCCAAGAACCCGAUUUUGUCCCCACCUUCUUGUUGUCGCCAUGUGGUAGUUGAAUGUCAAUACAGUCAUCUCACCAUAAAAAAAUACCAUUGGCUUUUGCUGGUUUCCUCACCCAAAACCACCAGCAGGAAGCCUUUAGCCUCAGGUUUUUUCCUAAACUUUUGGCAUUCUCACCUAUAUAACCAAACCCCAUCCUCCCAUCGGAUUCAUCAAAGCAUAGCUCGUGUUUUCUUACUCUCCACAAAUCCCACUACAAACUUGUUGGUUCUAUAUUACAGUAACAUAAAAAAUGAGUUCAGCGAGUAAAGCUUGGUUGGUUGCCGCUGCUAUCGGAGGUGUUGAGGCGUUGAAAGAUCAAGGGUUCUGUAGGUGGAACUACACCUUGAGAUCCCUACACCACCAUGCCAAGAACCAUGUCAGAUCAGCCUCUCAGGCCAAGAAGCUUUCUUCUUCAUCCUCAGCCAUGAUCUCAAAUAUAGUCAAGGAAGAGAAGGCAAAACAGUCAGAGGAGUCUUUAAGAAAAGUCAUGUACUUGAGUUGUUGGGGUCCAAACUAAAGUAAUGAAUCUAGGAGAUGAAAUCGAGGGACUUAGUUUAUAGGAGUAAAUCGUAGCAAGCUUAUGCAAAUUGUAAAUUUUGAUGCUCAUUUGAUGAAAUCGAACAUUAUCGCAUGUUUCUACCAUUUCUUUUGGUAACGCGCAGUGCAUUUCCCUAGUGAGUAAAUUUAACAAAGCUCUUUUCUAGUUUUCAAGUGGAAUAAACAGGCAAUUAAUUUCAAUAUGAGAUAUGAAAUUCAACUCGAGGCUAAAAUCUCUUUCUCCC